GAAUUAAAAAUGGGAGACUUUUUCAAUGAUGCAGGAGAAGACGGAUAUGUUGAUGCGCGAUUAAUGGAAACUAAGAAACUCGAUGAAAAAAAGGGCCUCAUUGUUCAAGGAGUGGAGUUUCGUCCCGAAUGAAGAAGAGAAGAAUCCUCCUCUAACUAUGCCCUUUUGUUUUGGUUUCAUUUUGAUAUUGAGGGGUGCUUACCAUCCGAGCAACUCCCUCUCGUCAAACAUUUUAAUAUGAUUCUACAAGUUUUACUUUUUUUACAGUCCAAAAGAGGCGCUACAUUUUUGUUUUAGAAGAGAGUAUAACAACAUUAUGAGUAUCUAUUUCUUCCCAAGUAACUUAAAACAAAUCAAAGUUUAAAUACUACGAUCUUUCCAUCUCAAAUUAUUUGUCAUGAUUUUUUAAAAUAAUCAUCUCGACUUUUUUGUCAUUUUAGAAGUUCAAGAUAAAAUUAAUUAUUUAUUUCAUAUUUUAGCUAGAGAGUAGUAAUAUUCUUGAAACUACAAGCACUUCAAUACAUAAGUAGAGAAAAUAUUCAAUUUAAAGAGAUUAUAUAAAUAAGUAGAGAAAUUGUAUUUGAUUGCGUAGGCGGGCAUUAUUUAUGGGAGGGUGCCCACCUAGUGUCAUUGUGCAUGUAUGAGAUCUCGCACAAGUAAUAUCAUAUUUGAUGACUUGAAAUACGAAGAUGAUAAGAAGUUCCCAUAAAGACUAUGAAUAGUUUUUACGAUGCUUUUCUGAGUUUAGAGGUGAAGAUACGCGUAGAACAAUAGUUUUAACAAUCCUAAUUAAAUAUUAAUAUGGUCAUCUUCAAACUUUUACAUUGACAUUGGAUACAACACAACUCCAAUUAAUUGGUCCAUAUUGAAGAUAUCCAUUACUAGGCCUACCGAUUUAAUAGUACUAGAGAAAUUCCAUCCUCAAAUUUGGUGGAAAAUAUCAAACAUUAAGCUUUCAAUGUCAUAACAACUUAGAGUAAUUAAUUAAUAAUCUUAUCAGAUUACCAUAAUAUUUUGUUAUUCAAUAGUACUAUAUAUUUAGUUUAGUUUCUAACGUAAUAACUAAAAUAGGGGACCUUUGUAAUUUUGUAUCGUGACACCUUUAUCUAGACGAUAUGUUAUUUGUCUCUGAUUGAGCCUGAUAUAUGCUAAGGCAAAAUUUUCAUCAGAAAUUUUAUCAUUUACUAUAUUUGAAAUCGAUGAUAUUGUAUCUAUACGUCGCAAUAGACGAUGGUUUAAUUAUUAGUCCAAAAAAAAUCAUCGUUUAGUGUAUUGCACACCAAUUUUUCAGCCCAGCAGACUCUUUUAGAGAAAAACUUCAUUCCUUUUUAGUUGUCAUGAUUUUCUUUUUUAGAUUCAAAUGAUAAGAAUUUUGACUAACAAUUUACGAUGUAUUUUUUAUCAUAUUGAUAUGCAAAAAAUUGUAAUUUAUAGUAAUUUUCGUAUAGUUUUUGAAUAUCUAAAAUUUUAAUUUAAAAUAUCGAAUUAAUAUAAUCUAAUUUAACUUUGAAAAUUAGUCAAAUUAUCUUUCGGAAAGCGCAACAUUACAACGAAAAAGGAAUGGAGGCCGAGUAUCAAAUAUAUGGUAUUACUUAAUUGUGCGAGAUCUAAUAUACGAUGACGUACACUUAGAGGUCGUUUGAUAGGGUGUAUAAAAAUAAUGUUAAAUAGAGUAUUAGUUAUGCUUGUAUUCACUAUACAUAAAUUAUUUUUUAUGCAUUGUUUGGUUUGGUGUACAAAAAAUAACAUGAAUUGCAUAAAAAAUUUCAUUUAUAAAAAUAUCCUCCACAAUUAUGAUGGAAAAGAUGUAAAAAGGGGUUUUGAGGGGUAAUUGAGGUUGUAACCAUACUAAUACAUGUAUUGAAUCUCUUUGUGUUACUAAUACCUAGAAAUCAAUGAUAUUAGUAAUACACUCUUUCAUACACAAUAAAGUGUAUAACUAAUGCAUGCAAACAAGAUACUAUUAAUACACAGAGUUAAUGCGUGCAUUAUUUUUGCUAAUACACUCCACUGACACCUCAAGAUUUUUCUUGGCUUUUUUCGCCAAGGUCUAAGUCAAAAGUCUUCUUACCUGUAUUUUGUACGACCUCACUAAUGAAAAAGUAGGUUACAUUUUCAUGACUUUGAAAUAGAAUUAUAGAAACAUGAUAAGACCAUAAAGACUAUGAAUAAAUAGUGAAAAAAUUAGGUAAAGUGUUGUUCUUCAUUAAGUUGAGAAUUUCCCUAUUAGUUUUUAGCAAUUGUAACUAAUACUCUUCAACAAUGUCAAACACUUCUUCUUCCAAAAUUCAAAAGUACGAUGCUUUUCUGAGUUUUAGAGGUGUAGAUAUACGUAGAACAUUUGUGAGUCAUCUCCAUAACGCUUUAAUACAAGGAGGAAUUAAUGUUUUCAAAGACGAUGAACGUCUAGAAACUGGAAAAUUAAUUUCUGAUGAACUACCAAAAGCCAUAGAAGAGUCUAAAUUUGCUAUAGUGAUAUUUUCUGAAAGCUAUGCAUCGUCAAAAUGGUGUUUAGACGAGCUUGCACACAUCAUAAAGUGUCGAAAGGAAUUGGAUCAAAUCGUAAUUCCUAUUUUCUAUAAUGUGGAUCCAUCAGAUGUGCGUCAUCAAACUCAAACUUUUGCUGAGUCUUUUACCAAACAUGAGGAAAAAUAUAAAGAUGAUAUGGAGAAAAUUCAAAGAUGGAGGGAUGCAUUUGCUGAGUCUGGGAAAAUAGUAGGGCACCAUUUGCAAAAUUACAAGUAAGAUUAUUUUUCUUUUUCUCUUUAUUCCCCCUCCGUAACAAUAUAGAUCUCUUAAUUUGAUUGGACACGGAAUUUUUUUAAAAAAAUAAAGAGAAAUUUUGUGGUUUUAAACUUGUCGUGUAGAUUGUUGGAAUUGAAAAACACACUAAAUAUAGAAAGAGAAUCUCUUAUGGACAAAUCAAAAAGGAAAGUAAGACACUUAGCUUGCGUUUAGACAUGCCAUAUGAAGUCCUAAUUUCAAAUCAAUGUUUGGGCAUGUGUUUGGAAUCCCAAAUUUUCCAUAUAAAAAAAACAUGAUUUGAGAUUCCAAAUCAUGUUUUUGGAGAAUGAUUUCAGAUUCUAAUCUCAAAAUCUCAUAUUCAAAUAUUGAUUUGAAAUCGUGACUUCAUAUCGUAUAUCCGUAUGCAAACUUAAAUUAGAAUAUAUAUAAGGAAUAGUAUUUUUCGAGCUUUGCCUUCUUGGGUGAUUCAAGAAACAUAUUGUUUUAUUGUUGUGCAAAAAUAAUUAAAAUUAAUAAAAUAAGGUAUAUAUAAUAUCAUAAAGAGAGUAUACCCUAAAUAUAAAUUCUAUAAUCUUGUAUUCUCUUUAUGCCUUAUGUGACAUAAUCCAUUCAAAAAAAAAUAUCACUUUUAUAUUAAUAGAAGGAAUUUAACUUUAAAUUUUCUUUUGUACCCUUAAUCAAAUGAUCAUUUACAACUCCACACAAGUGUGUAAGGUUCUUUUUAGAUCAUAAAUUUCAAAUUUUGUUCUUUUCUUUCUUAAAUUUUAUGUCAAAUCAAAUGAUAUCACAUAAAUUGAGACAGAAAAAAGUUUGAUUUCUAAAUUUCGAUCUAAAUAAUUGUUCUUUUUAUUGUAACAUUUAGGGAUGAGGCAGAUUGCAUCAAAAAGGUUGUUGACGAACUAAUGUCAUCAUUACAUAUUAAAUCUGAUGACGAUGAUGACGCUAGGGAUCGGGGCGUGGACGCUAAAUCUCCAAUUCUUAUUGAUGAAGGGAAAAUGGUAUUUUUUCUUUUAUAAUUUGAAUUCAUGACUAGCCUUCCCCAUUCAUAAGGGCUGUUAGGUGGCCUGGGCCUGGAACCAGGCCACCAAACAUGUAGUUAAUUAUUGGCAUGAAUACAAAUAAGUCUGACUAAUUGUACAAUGAAAAUGACCCUCAUGGCUAUUGAUGUGUUUUAUGUAUGGUAUAAUGCGCGGCCAGUUGUAGCUAGUCAUGUCAAGUGAGCUGGAUUGGCAUGUGCUGAGCCCAAUCAUACACCAUAAGAAUAUGCCAGACCCGUUACUGGCCUGGCCCAUUCAUAAGGGCUAUUAAGUGGUCUAUAAGACCUUUUUCAAAUUGUUUUAUAAUUUAUAAUGUUUUAUGUUUGUGAUUUGAUAUGUCAAAUAGAGUUUUUCACGAGAUAAGAAGACGGGAAAGAAAUGUUUCAUGAUAGCAGCAAGAGGACUUGAUAUUGAAUGGAGUAAUACACCAGACUAUUGGGAAUGGUUACCUCACUCUGACUCCAGGUUUUAUAUAUUUGCGAUAUCUUUCUAUGUACUAGUAUAAAAUUUGAAAGGAAUUAGUAAUAAUUAUUGAUAAAGGUGAAUUUUUUUUGUAGAUUCGGGGAAGUGGCUAAACUCAAGUGGGUUUGUUGGCUUGAUAUUCGAGGCAAAAUUGAAACUCGAAGACUAUCAAAAAGAACCAAAUAUGUUGCUUAUCUAGUGUUCAAAUUGGAAGAUAAAUUCCAUGGCCUUGAAACCGUUAAUGCAGUUGUUAGAUUUGUUGAUUCUAUGAGUGUAAAGGAAGCGGAACAACGAGCUAGUGUUGUACAUUUUGCAGGACGAGGACCUAGAGAGACACUACCCUUCAAAAGAGGUGAUGGAUGGAUGGAAUUAAAAAUGGGAGACUUUUUCAAUGAUGCAGGAGAAGACGGAGAUGUUGAUGCUCGAUUAAUGGAGACUCAGCGUCUCGAAGCAAAAGGUGGCCUCAUUGUUCAAGGAGUGGAGUUUCGCGCCGAAUGAAGAAGAGAAGAAUCCUCCUCUUACUAUGCCUUUUUGUUUUGGUCUUAUUUGGAUUGAUUCAAGUACUUUUAUAUACGGCCCUUCUAGAGGAGCGUAUU
This 4840-nucleotide long non-coding RNA is filed under the name Solanum tuberosum (potato). RNAcentral's name for it is "long non-coding RNA (STUB_LNC011909)". The record is from RNAcentral. Lineage: Eukaryota; Viridiplantae; Streptophyta; Magnoliopsida; Solanales; Solanaceae.